AUUGAACGCUGGCGGCAGGCCUAACACAUGCAAGUCGAGCGCGCGGCGGACGGGGGAGUAAUGUAUGGGGACUGUCCGUUAGAGGGGGAUAACUACUGGAAAAGGUAGCUCAUACCGCAUACUAUAGGAUAACCCAUAGGGGAUUAGCUAGUAGGUGAGGGAAUGGCUCACCUAGGCGACGAUCCCUAGCUGGUCUGAGAGGAUGAUCAGCCACACGGGGACUGAGACACGGCCCAGACUCCUACGGAGGCAGCAGUGGGGAAUAUUGCACAAUGGGCGCAAGCCUGAUGCAGCCAUGCCGCGUGUAUGAAGAAGGCCCUAGGGUUGUAAAGUACUUUCAGUCGGGAGGCGUUACCGACAGAAGAAGCACCGGCUAACUCCGUGCCAGCCGCCGCGGUAAUUC
Molecule: ribosomal RNA, 403 nt
Filed under: uncultured bacterium
Lineage: Bacteria
Description: partial 16S ribosomal RNA
Rfam family: Bacterial small subunit ribosomal RNA
Source: RNAcentral